UUGCGGUACUCUGACCGUGCAAAGGUAGCAUAAUCAUUUGCCUUAUAAUUGAAGGCUAGUAUGAAUGGUUUGACAAGAAUGUAGCUGUCUCUUUGUAAUUAAACAGAAUUUUAUUUAUAGGUGAAGAAGCCUAUAUUAAAUUAAAAGACAAGAAGACCCUAUCGAGCUUGAAAGGAAUUAAUAGGCUAGACAAUUAAUGAUAUCAAAAAAUUAACUAUUAUAAAUUUUAGUUGGGGCGACUGAGGAACAAAAAAAGCUUCCUUUAAAAAUUAAAACUAAACAAGUAUUGAUCCAAAACAUUUUGAUUAAAGGAAUUAGUUACCGUAGGGAUAACAGCAUUAUCUUUUUUAAGAGCUCUUAUCGAAAAAAAGGUUUGUGACCUCGAUGUUGGACCAGAAUAUCCUAAAGAUGCAGCC
This 416-nucleotide ribosomal RNA is filed under the name Volutharpa perryi. Its description in RNAcentral is "partial 16S ribosomal RNA". It matches the Rfam family "Bacterial large subunit ribosomal RNA", at positions 1931 to 2560 of the family's 2925-position model. Lineage: Eukaryota; Metazoa; Mollusca; Gastropoda; Neogastropoda; Buccinidae. The record is from RNAcentral.